RNAcentral lists this long non-coding RNA (901 nucleotides) under Struthio camelus australis. Its description in RNAcentral is "lncRNA (ENSSCUG00000017205.1)". Lineage: Eukaryota; Metazoa; Chordata; Aves; Struthioniformes; Struthionidae. The record is from RNAcentral.
CAGAGCCUGUUAAGUUUCACGUGGAAUGCUCAGUUUGAAAAACUAUAUAUAAAUAUAUUGCCAGUAAUGCUGACAGCGUUUACACUGUGAGGUAGAACCAGUUGGGCUGGAAACCAAAUUUGCUGAAGAGACUAGCUCUAGAGCAUGCAAGCUGUCGUGCAUAGGAAAGAUGGGAAAAGAAACUUGGAUUUAUCCUCUGUUGUAGAGCACUGAAGGAUACGCUUACCUGCAGUGUGUUUAAGACCUUGAACUCUGUGCCUGGCCUUGCAGCUUUAGCUAUCCGAUCCACCUCACAAUGACCAGCACUGAGGGCAUGACAUGGCACGCGAUCCUUCCUGCAGGAGCCUCGAUGGUGCUUGUGACAAGGUCAGGAUUGGUAAGGGAAAGACCUGGGUUCUUGUACCUACUCAUGAGACUCUUUCUGCAUUUCAUCCAGUGAGCGAAGUGGAGGUUUUCCCACCCUCAGAUCCUCUCUGGGAUUUUAGGAAUGUUGAGACGUGCUGGUUAUAAAGCCCUAAGUACAAAAUGGUCACGGAUGGCUGGAAUGAGGCAUGUUCUAAUGGAAACAAAUCACUUGUCAGGAUCACUCUUACUGGCUUGGCCGGGGAAGGAAGAUGGCAGCUCUGGUGCGAUGCAGUCGUUUGAAUGGGCGAGAAAUAGAGGGGCUGUGAAGAGCGGAAACAAGUCGGCUGGUGGCAUCACAGAGCUGCUUUGAAGUGGUUUCCAGUUAUGGGGCAAAAAGGAGGUGAAAUCCUGGCCUUCUUGAAAUCCAUGGGCGUGUGGCUGUUCACUCCAGCGGAGCCAUGCCUUCUUCCUGGGUCUAUUGGCUUUGCCUAAAACCAGUUAUGCUCCCUCCCUUUUUUUUUUUUUUUAAUUACAAAAUUAAUUAAAAAAUUUAAUU